Non-coding RNA from Phrynosoma platyrhinos (Desert horned lizard), 72 nucleotides. The record is from the annotation of a GenBank genome assembly. NCBI's taxonomy places the organism in Eukaryota, Metazoa, Chordata, Lepidosauria, Squamata, Phrynosomatidae.
GCCAGUGUUGCAUAGUGGUUUAAGUGCUGGACUGCAACUCUGGGGACCUGGGUUCAAAUCCCUGCUCAGCCA